GGCAAGAUGGCCGAGCGGUCUAAGGCGCUACGUUCAGGUGUUCAGUUGAUCUGGGUAACCACGUUUCGUAGUCUCGAAAGAGGCGCGAGUUCGAAUCUCGUUCUUGUCA
RNAcentral lists this transfer RNA (109 nucleotides) under Coniella lustricola. It matches the Rfam family "tRNA". From Rfam's summary of the family: Transfer RNA (tRNA) molecules are approximately 80 nucleotides in length. The record is from Rfam by way of RNAcentral. Lineage: Eukaryota; Fungi; Ascomycota; Sordariomycetes; Diaporthales; Schizoparmaceae.